GACGAGCUUAUUCCAAAUCGAGACACCAAUGUGACCAGUGCUAAGAAGUUCCAAAAGAGGAAGGACGAUCCAUAAAGAAAAAUAAGCAUACAAAUAAAAGUAGCUGAGAAAGACCCAAAAGUUUGAACUCUACGCUGAGAAUCGCCUUCUUCAUCUCGAUUCAUUCUACACUUCAUAGUCUUGAGUCUGUAUCAAUAUUACCUCGUACGGUCAAGCCGAUGAGAAAAAUAUUAAUAAUUUACAUAAUUCUAAAACUGCAUAAAAAGCGAUGGAUAUGCAGUUACCUGUUAUUUAUGGAGGAAUAAAAAUAGAAAAUAUCUUAAUGAUAGAUCAAGAGAACGUCUUAAUACGAGAACGUCUUAAAUUGAGCUACCUGGACAUUGCUUUCGAUGUGAUGCUCACAUUAUUAGCAACGUUCAUAUUCACAUAUAUCGAGUAAAGCCGAACAAGACAUUCAGACAAGUAUUAAAUCGAUAUAAUGAAGGCUACUAUGAACAUGGAUUCUUAACAAUUCGCUACAGCACGAGGAAUAAGUAGAAGUAAAUAUACGCAUAUAUACAAAUAUAUCUAAAACCAUCUAUAAAUCAUUAUGUUUUAUUAUAUGUACAAUAACCUGUAUAUGUUUAUAUACGUAUAUUUGUAUUUGUGUCUUUAUGACCUAUCUCUGUUCAACUUUAUAUUUCUAAAUAUGUGAAUCAAAUUAAAAUUAAUCCUAUAUAUGUACAGAACAUAUAUAGGGUAAUUUGAAUUUAUUCAAAAUGUUUAGUAACAUCUAAUCGAACA
Vespula pensylvanica (western yellowjacket) is the source of this 783-nucleotide long non-coding RNA. RefSeq lists it as uncharacterized. Lineage: Eukaryota; Metazoa; Arthropoda; Insecta; Hymenoptera; Vespidae. The record is from RefSeq and is a predicted model, not a curated record. The transcript is spliced from 4 exons.